GGAGGGAAACCGAGUCUUAAUUGGGCGUUAAGUUGCAGGGUAUAGACCCGAAACCCGGUGAUCUAGCCAUGGGCAGGUUGAAGGUUGGGUAACACUAACUGGAGGACCGAACCGACUAAUGUUGAAAAAUUAGCGGAUGACCUGUGGCUGGGGGUGAAAGGCCAAUCAAACCGGGAGAUAGCUGGUUCUCCCCGAAAGCUAUUUAGGUAGCGCCUCGUGAAUUCAUCUCCGGGGGUAGAGCACUGUUUCGGCUAGGGGGCCAUCCCGGCUUACCAACCCGAUGCAAACUGCGAAUACCGGAGAAUGUUAUCACGGGAGACACACGGCGGGUGCUAACGUCCGUCGUGAAGAGGGAAACAACCCAGACCGCCAGCUAAGGUCCCAAAGUCAUGGUUAAGUGGGAAACGAUGUGGGAAGGCCCAGACAGCCAGGAUGUUGGCUUAGAAGCAGCCAUCAUUUAAAGAAAGCGUAAUAGCUCACUGGUCGAGUCGGCCUGCGCGGAAGAUGUAACGGGGCUAAACCAU
This 524-nucleotide ribosomal RNA is filed under the name Salmonella enterica subsp. enterica serovar Dublin. RNAcentral describes it as "partial 23S ribosomal RNA". It matches the Rfam family "Bacterial large subunit ribosomal RNA", at positions 668 to 1190 of the family's 2925-position model. RNAcentral also lists the same sequence under 1 other name. Lineage: Bacteria; Pseudomonadati; Pseudomonadota; Gammaproteobacteria; Enterobacterales; Enterobacteriaceae. The record is from RNAcentral.